RNAcentral lists this ribosomal RNA (427 nucleotides) under uncultured bacterium. Its description in RNAcentral is "bacterial SSU rRNA". It matches the Rfam family "Bacterial small subunit ribosomal RNA", at positions 355 to 775 of the family's 1533-position model. The record is from RNAcentral.
UGGGGAAUCUUGCGCAAUGGGCGAAAGCCUGACGCAGCGACGCCGCGUGAGUGAUGAAGGCCUUCGGGUUGUAAAGCUCUGUGGAGGGGGACGAAUAAGGGUUGGCUAAUAUCCAGCUCGAUGACGGUACCCUUUUAGCAAGCACCGGCUAACUCUGUGCCAGCAGCCGCGGUAAGACAGAGGGUGCAAACGUUGUUCGGAAUUACUGGGCGUAAAGCGCGUGUAGGCGGCUCGGAAAGUCGGAUGUGAAAGCCCUGGGCUUAACCUAGGAAGUGCAUUCGAAACUCCCGAGCUUGAGUUCUGGAGAGGGAAGCGGAAUUCUCGGUGUAGAGGUGAAAUUCGUAGAUAUCGAGAGGAACACCGGUGGCGAAGGCGGCUUCCUGGACAGUGACUGACGCUGAGACGCGAAAGCGUGGGGAGCAAACAG